This 497-nucleotide ribosomal RNA is filed under the name uncultured bacterium. Its description in RNAcentral is "partial 16S ribosomal RNA". It matches the Rfam family "Bacterial small subunit ribosomal RNA", at positions 28 to 507 of the family's 1533-position model. The record is from RNAcentral.
GAUGAACGCUGGCGGCGUGCCUAAUACAUGCAAGUCGAGCGAACAGACGAGGAGCUUGCUCCUCUGACGUUAGCGGCGGACGGGUGAGUAACACGUGGAUAACCUACCUAUAAGACUGGGAUAACUUCGGGAAACCGGAGCUAAUACCGGAUAAUAUAUUGAACCGCAUGGUUCAAUAGUGAAAGACGGUUUUGCUGUCACUUAUAGAUGGAUCCGCGCUGCAUUAGCUAGUUGGUAAGGUAACGGCUUACCAAGGCAACGAUGCAUAGCCGACCUGAGAGGGGUGUCAGGCACCACGGAACCUGAGCAACGGCCAAGCCCCUGAGGGGAGGCAGAGUUAGGGAUUCUCCGCAAAGGGGGGAAAGCUUGAAGGAGAAACGCGCGGGGAGUGAUGAAGUGCUGCGGACGGUAAAACGUUGUUAUUAGGGAAGACCAAAGUGGUAAGUAACGAUGAACGUCUGACCGGAACCAAUCAAGAAAGCCCCGCUAAAUUACUG